This is a long non-coding RNA of Heterocephalus glaber (naked mole-rat), 257 nucleotides long. Lineage: Eukaryota; Metazoa; Chordata; Mammalia; Rodentia; Bathyergidae. The record is from Ensembl.
GUAUGGCCAGGCAGGCCUGACAGCGGAAAUUGGAAGCUGGCUGCUGUUUGACAGGUGUGGCUUCCACCAUCCUUGAGCAAGUUUCCGGCCUCUUUCUUGAUGUCUACCUCGACUGUGAUGUCUACCUCGACUGUGAUGCCUGCCACUGUCCAUCUUUAUGUUGUCUUAAUGAGAAUCCUGGGCUUCUGACAGCCUGCGGCAACAAGUGGCUGAUGGCCUGAGACCCUCCCAAUGCUCCCCACAGUCCAGCACCUCCG